UGGAAAAGGUUGAGAGGAGACCCCUGUUU
Molecule: non-coding RNA, 29 nt
Filed under: Homo sapiens (human)
Lineage: Eukaryota; Metazoa; Chordata; Mammalia; Primates; Hominidae
Source: RNAcentral